Molecule: ribosomal RNA, 484 nt
Filed under: uncultured bacterium
Lineage: Bacteria
Description: partial 16S ribosomal RNA
Rfam family: Bacterial small subunit ribosomal RNA
Source: RNAcentral
AUUGAACGCUGGCGGCAGGCCUAACACAUGCAAGUCGAGCGGAUGAAGGGAGCUUGCUCCUGGAUUCAGCGGCGGACGGGUGAGUAAUGCCUAGGAAUCUGCCUGGUAGUGGGGGAUAACGUCCGGAAACGGGCGCUAAUACCGCAUACGUCCUGAGGGAGAAAGUGGGGGAUCUUCGGACCUCACGCUAUCAGAUGAGCCUAGGUCGGAUUAGCUAGUUGGUGGGGUAACGGCCUACCAAGGCGACGAUCCGUAACUGGUCUGAGAGGAUGAUCAGUCACACUGGAACUGAGACACGGUCCAGACUCCUACGGGAGGCAGCAGUGGGGAAUAUUGGACAAUGGGCGAAAGCCUGAUCCAGCCAUGCCGCGUGUGUGAAGAAGGUCUUCGGAUUGUAAAGCACUUUAAGUUGGGAGGAAGGGCAGUAAGUUAAUACCUUGCUGUUUUGACGGUACCAACAGAAUAAGCACCGGCUAACUUCGUG